Molecule: ribosomal RNA, 253 nt
Filed under: uncultured bacterium
Lineage: Bacteria
Description: partial 16S ribosomal RNA
Rfam family: Bacterial small subunit ribosomal RNA
Source: RNAcentral
UACAGAGGGGGCAAGCGUUAUUCGGAAUUAUUGGGCGUAAAGGGCGCGUAGGCGGCUUUGCAAGUGACGGGUGAAAUCCCUCGGCUUAACCGAGGAACUGCCUGUCAAACUGCAUGGCUUGAGACCGGGAGAGGUGAGUGGAAUUCCCAGUGUAGCGGUGAAAUGCGUAGAUAUUAGGAAGAACACCAGUGGCGAAGGCGGCUCACUGGUCCGGUACUGACGCUGAUGUGCGAAAGCGUGGGGAGCAAACAGG